UGGGGAAUUUUGGACAAUGGGGGCAACCCUGAUCCAGCAAUGCCGCGUGUGUGAAGAAGGCCUUCGGGUUGUAAAGCACUUUUGUCCGGAAAGAAAACGCCGUGGUUAAUACCCGUGGCGGAUGACGGUACCGGAAGAAUAAGCACCGGCUAACUACGUGCCAGCAGCCGCGGUAAUACGUAGGGUGCAAGCGUUAAUCGGAAUUACUGGGCGUAAAGCGUGCGCAGGCGGUCCGCUAAGACAGAUGUGAAAUCCCCGGGCUUAACCUGGGAACUGCAUUUGUGACUGGCGGGCUAGAGUAUGGCAGAGGGGGGUAGAAUUCCACGUGUAGCAGUGAAAUGCGUAGAGAUGUGGAGGAAUACCGAUGGCGAAGGCAGCCCCCUGGGCCAAUACUGACGCUCAUGCACGAAAAGCGUGGGGAGCAAACAGGAUUCAGAUACCCUGGUAGUCCACGCCCUAAACGAUGUCAACUA
This 473-nucleotide ribosomal RNA is filed under the name uncultured bacterium. RNAcentral describes it as "partial 16S ribosomal RNA". It matches the Rfam family "Bacterial small subunit ribosomal RNA", at positions 355 to 818 of the family's 1533-position model. The record is from RNAcentral.